GACGAACGCUGGCGGCGUGCCUAAUACAUGCAAGUCGAGCGGACAGACGGGAGCUUGCUCCCUGAUGUUAGCGGCGGACGGGUGAGUAACACGUGGGUAACCUGCCUGUAAGACUGGGAUAACUCCGGGAAACCGGGGCUAAUACCGGAUGGUUGUCUGAACCGCAUGGUUCAGACAUAAAAGGUGGCUUCGGCUACCACUUACAGAUGGACCCGCGGCGCAUUAGCUAGUUGGUGAGGUAACGGCUCACCAAGGCAACGAUGCGUAGCCGACCUGAGAGGGUGAUCGGCCACACUGGGACUGAGACACGGCCCAGACUCCUACGGGAGGCAGCAGUAGGGAAUCUUCCGCAAUGGACGAAAGUCUGACGGAGCAACGCCGCGUGAGUGAUGAAGGUUGUCGGAUCGUAAAGCUCUGUUGUUAGGGAAGAACAAGUGCCGUUCAAAUAGGGCGGCACCUUGACGGUACCUAACCAGAAAGCCACGGCUAACUACGUG
This 497-nucleotide ribosomal RNA is filed under the name uncultured bacterium. Its description in RNAcentral is "partial 16S ribosomal RNA". It matches the Rfam family "Bacterial small subunit ribosomal RNA", at positions 28 to 507 of the family's 1533-position model. The record is from RNAcentral.